GAACUGUAGAGUUUGAUCCUGGCUCAGAUUGAACGCUGGCGGCAUGCCUUACACAUGCAAGUCGAACGGUAACAGGUUAAGCUGACGAGUGGCGAACGGGUGAGUAAUGUAUCGGAACGUGCCCAGUCGUGGGGGAUAACUGCUCGAAAGAGCAGCUAAUACC
Molecule: ribosomal RNA, 163 nt
Filed under: Klebsiella pneumoniae
Lineage: Bacteria; Pseudomonadati; Pseudomonadota; Gammaproteobacteria; Enterobacterales; Enterobacteriaceae
Description: partial 16S ribosomal RNA
Rfam family: Bacterial small subunit ribosomal RNA
Source: RNAcentral